CCUUUACCUCAGGCAGAAAAAUGUCCUGACCCAUCUACACCAGUGGGUGUGCAAUGUCAUUUGUCCAGAUAUCCACGGAGCCAAUGGAGAGAUGAAGAAAGCUGAAUUCUGCUUGAAGAAAAGUUUGACCUAUGAUGAGGAAAACAACCGCAGCAAAUCCAAAGAUCAGUCAGUGAUGUUUGUGAAGAUCUCUGGACUAGAGCCUCAGCUAAGGAAAGGAAAACACAGCAGGUUGUCAGCCAGCCUAGAUUAAAAAGAAAAAAGGAAGAAGCAGAAGAAGCAGAAGCAGCUGCAGCAAUGGCAGGAGUGAAAUCGAUCAUGACAAAAUGGACAGGCCUGCUCUUAUCUCACACCAGGAAAGGUGGAAAGAGGAAAAAAGCAUCCUGAAGAAGCAGACAACAAAGACACAGCGGCAUUCCCAAACUCUCCAAAUGUUCUGGGUUACAGUACCCAUCAUUACCAACUAUUGCCAUGGGGCAAUAAGGAAAAAGUCUGACACAUGUAGACAACACCAUGCUAGAAAAGGCAGAUAUGCAGGAUACUAAAUGUCAGGAUUCUGCCUGUUUGGAGCCUUUAUGUUUAAAUUUA
RNAcentral lists this long non-coding RNA (588 nucleotides) under Pogona vitticeps (central bearded dragon). Its description in RNAcentral is "lncRNA (ENSPVIG00000012241.1)". The record is from RNAcentral. Lineage: Eukaryota; Metazoa; Chordata; Lepidosauria; Squamata; Agamidae.